UUUUGAAGAUUAGCGGCGGACGGGUGAGUAACACGUGGGUAACCUGCCUGUAAGACUGGGAUAACUCCGGGAAACCGGGGCUAAUACCGGAUAACUUCUUCCUCCGCAUGGAGGAAUAUUGAAAGAUGGCUUCGGCUAUCACUUACAGAUGGACCCGCGGCGCAUUAGCUAGUUGGUGAGGUAACGGCUCACCAAGGCRACGAUGCGUAGCCGACCUGAGAGGGUGAUCGGCCACACUGGGACUGAGACACGGCCCAGACUCCUACGGGAGGCAGCAGUAGGGAAUCUUCCGCAAUGGACGAAAGUCUGACGGAGCAACGCCGCGUGAGUGAUGAAGGUUUUCGGAUCGUAAAACUCUGUUGUUAGGGAAGAACAAGUACCGUUCGAAUAGGGCGGUACCUUGACGGUACCUAACCAGAAAGCCACGGCUAACUACGUGCCAGCAGCCGCGGUAAUACGUAGGUGGCAAGCGUUGUCCGGAAUUAUUGGGCGUAAAGCGCGCGCAGGCGGUUUCUUAAGUCUGAUGUGAAAGCCCACGGCUCAACCGUGGAGGGUCAUUGGAAACUGGGAGACUUGAGUGCAGAAGAGGAGAGUGGAAUUCCACGUGUAGCGGUGAAAUGCGUAGAGAUGUGGAGGAACACCAGUGGCGAAGGCGACUCUCUGGUCUGUAACUGACGCUGAGGCGCGAAAGCGUGGGGAGCGAACAGGAUUAGAUACCCUGGUAGUCCACGCCGUAAACGAUGAGUGCUAAGUGUUAGAGGGUUUCCGCCCUUUAGUGCUGCAGCUAACGCAUUAAGCACUCCGCCUGGGGAGUACGGCCGCAAGGCUGAAACUCAAAGGAAUUGACGGGGGCCCGCACAAGCGGUGGAGCAUGUGGUUAAUUUCGAAGCAACGCGAGACCUUUACCAGGUCUUGACAUCCUCUGACACCCUAGAGAUAGGGCUUUUCYCCUUCGGGGGAMAGAGUGAMCAGUGGUGCAUGGCUGGUCGUCAGCUCRUGUCGUGAGAUGUGCUUAAGUCCGCAACGAGSCAAUCCUGGACUUAGUGGCCCARCCAU
Molecule: ribosomal RNA, 1056 nt
Filed under: Bacillus sp. (in: firmicutes)
Lineage: Bacteria; Bacillati; Bacillota; Bacilli; Caryophanales; Bacillaceae
Description: bacterial SSU rRNA
Source: RNAcentral